AUGAACGCUGGCGGCAGGCCUAACACAUGCAAGUCGAGCGGUAACGCGGGGCAACCUGGCGACGAGCGGCGGACGGGUGAGUAACGCGCAGGAAUCUACCUGGUAGUGGGGGAUAGCCCGGGGAAACUCGGAUUAAUACCGCAUACGCCUUAAGGGGGAAAGCAGGGGAUCGCAAGACCUUGUGCUAUCAGAAGAGCCUG
This 200-nucleotide ribosomal RNA is filed under the name uncultured bacterium. Its description in RNAcentral is "partial 16S ribosomal RNA". It matches the Rfam family "Bacterial small subunit ribosomal RNA", at positions 29 to 233 of the family's 1533-position model. The record is from RNAcentral.